UGUUGGUAGUACCUGUAAGCAAAGAUAGAAGUUUGGCAAGGACCAAAAUGUAAAAUGUAUUGUGUACUUAUCUCUGACAAGGAAUGGAGUGUGUGUGUUCGACAGUCUUCCAGAAAAUCGCCAGCCCACUUCUCUUGCGAGUUUACGGAGGCGCAAGUGAUAAUCCGGCGAAUCCCAACAUGGCAUCAGAGCAGGUUGGCGUUCCGGCGGUGGCGGCGUAGUCCCUCGCCGGCAAGGCGGCCGGGCCUGGCGGGGUCAGGAGAGAGGAGGAGGCUGCUCUUGCGCGCGCGCGACGCGGAGGAGGAGGCGGCUGUGGGCGCGUUCUGGGCGAGCUGGCUGCAGAGUAGGAGGCGCAGGAGGUGCUGCGGGAACUGCUGAGUGUUGGUCUGUUGUCCUGCUGCUGAUUGACCAAGGAGAAGGGCAGCUGCUGGUGCAUCUGGAUCUGCUGCUGCUCUGUGGGGUGUGGCUGCGGCUGCUGCUUGGAAGGGCUCCUGUCCUGGCUGCUGCUGCUACUGGUGGAACUGUGUGGCAGAGGAGGAGCAGUGGAGGAGUGUAGAGAAGGUAGAAGGUGAGGUCCCCUUCAACUUUGGCUGCUGGUAGGUUGCAAGGGAGAAGAAAGGGAGGUGCCUGGUGCCUGCUGUGUGUGCGAGCAGAGAAAAGGUGAACUGGUGAGGUAGUGAAGAUGAAGAUGACUUGUGGCUUCAACAAGUAGAGAAGAGGUGUGUUGCCUAAAUCUGAAUCUGUUCGUGGGUUGUUGCUGCUGCCUUGGAGUGGAGAGAAGAACAGAGCAGUAGACCAAAGAGCAGUGUGCAAUUGAGGCUGUGAAGGUCAGAGUAAGUUUCGAUUGGUAGUGGAGUUGUGAGUGAUUGUGUGAAGGUGUGCAUUCUGGUAGUGGAAGGCCAGGGAAUUUGCAGCGUUAUGGAUGGAAAAUAUCAGGCUCUGUUUUCCGGGAUUGGUAAGCAAAGGGACGAUGGUUCAGGUAGAGGUAAAGGAUGUGGUAGUGGUACUGCAAAAUCAUGGCAGCGAAAGGGGGAUUGGCUGUGUCCAAAUACAAGAUGUGAGAAUGUAAAUUUUGCAUUCCGAGGUGUCUGUAAUCGCUGUCGGGCAGCACGUCCUACUGAUGUUAGUGCAAUGGGGACAACUAAAAAUGAUGGAAAAUCUCAGACUAUUACUGUCGAAAUGACUACUGAUGAGUUGAAGAAGUGGCUUCGGUUCAAGGAAGGAAUCAUUGAUGAAAGGUCAACAACCAAGAUAUUUGCUACAUCUGCUAACCCCUGUGGUAAUACUUCGAAAUUUGUGAAAGGAAGUUAUUUUGAGACUGGUACACAGUGGUUAAUAGACUCUGGUGCGUCUAAACAUAUGGCCGGUUCAUAUAAGGAUUUCUGCAGUUAUACUCCUGAUUUUACAGGGCAAAAUGUUAGACUUGCUGAUGGUUCUGGCCAGAGUAUUAAGGGAGUAGGCAUAGUUAAAUGUUACCCAAAUAUGACUCUAUCAUCUGUUUUACAUGUUCCCUCAUUCCCAAUCAAUUUGCUAUCCAUCAGCUGCAUUACAGGAGAACUUAAUUGUGCUGUAAUCUUCUUCCCAACAUGGUGUUUAUUCCUGGAACUUGGGACUUGGAAAAUCCUUGGGACAGGAAUUAUGCGAGGUGGUCUAUACUACUUGGAUGAUGAUAUGGCACCUAUGGCUGCUGCUGUGCUGUCUCAGUCACCAUUGGAAGAAUUUCUUCUUCAUCAUCGCAGGCUGGGACACAUAUCCUUUAACACCCUGGGUCAGUUGUAUCCUAGUCUCUAUAAUAAAAUUUGCAAAGAAAGUCUAGUAUGUGAUGCUUGUCAGUAUGGGAAGCUAACCCGUAGUAUAUAUACUUCAUCUGAUCACAGAAGUAUGGUGCCAUUUCAAACUAUCCACUCAGAUGUGUGGGGUCCUAGUGGGGUGUGGUCACUUUAUGGAUACAAAUCUUUCGUUACAUUUAUUGACUGUUGCACUAGGACUACUUGGGUUUAUGUACUGAGAAAUAAAAGUGACGUGUUUGAAUGCUUUAAGGAUUUCCACAACCUAAUCAAGAAUCAAUAUGAUGCACGGGUGAAAAUAUUUCGAACUGACAAUGGUACAGAAUAUGUAAAUAACCAAUUUGAUGAGUAUCUGUCAAACUUUGGGAUUAUCCAUCAAACUAGUUGCCCAGGUACUUCCCAGCAGAAUGGGUUGGCUGAAAGGAAGAACAGACAUCUCUUAGAAAUCACCCGGUGUAUCAUGUUAGCUAUGAAUGUUCCUAAAUAUUUGUAGGCUGAAGCUGUGAUGACGGCGGCUUAUUUGAUGAAUAGAAUGCCAUCCCGGGUGCUCAAUAACAAGACACCGAUUGAGUGUCUAACUGGUGAAACCACAUAUGUUGUGCCGCCAAAUGUAUUUGGAUGUGUAUGUUUUGUGAGGGAUCAUAGACCAUCAGUUGGCAAGUUUGACCCUAGAGCAGUGAAAUGUGUAUUUGUGGGAUACUCUGGAAAACAAAAGGGUUAUAAAUGUUGGUGCCCAUCAGAAAAACGGAUGUUUGUGAGCAUGGAUGUAGUGUUCAGGGAGCAUGAACCUUUCUAUGGGGAAUCAGUAGAUUUAACUGAUGUCUUUCCUGAUUUAUAUGUUAAUGAUGCUACAGAUCUGGACAACGAGAUAGGGGGAGAUAAAGGUGAAGAAUAUAAUGAAGCAGCAUCCAGGAAUAUGAUUGUUGGAGUGAUUCCAGCUGCAGAUAUGUAUGACGAUGAAGAUGAAGGUACAUCAGAAGCUGAACAGAAACGGACACAGGGGGAGCUACGAGAUGAAUCAAAUGAAGCUGUUAAGUGGCCUAAACCAAAUGAAGAACAAGAAGUUCAGGUGUAUAAAAGGAGACAGUGGCCUAAACCAAAUGAAGAACAAGAAGUUCAGGUGUAUAAAAGGAGAAACCGAUCUGAGAAGGAAGUUAUUCCAUCUAGGUGUGAUCAUGAAGCUCAAGAAGCUCCUGCAAUACAAGCACAAGAAACCUUGCCAAGUGUGACAUAAUCAGAUGUGCAUGAGUCAUCUCCUCAAGUUGAUGAGUUAGAUAUUCCUAUCGCUCGCAAAUAGCAGCCACGUUCCACUGCAGGGAAGUUACCAUCAAAUCUAUCUCAAUAUGAUAUUUCUAAUUAUGUCUCAUAUGUAUCAUUGGGCUCCCAAUAUAAAUCAUUUAUAGAUGCACUAGAUUCCACUCUACCUAUACCACGUGAUUGGCAGGAGGCGAAACAAUAUCCGGAGUGGAGAGCUGCUAUGAUAGAGGAGAUGACAGCACUUGAUAAAAAUAAUACUUGGGUACUCACUACUCUUCCUCCUAACAAAAGGGCUGUUGGUUGUAAAUGGGUAUUUACUGUAAAACAAAAUUCAGAGGGAAAAGUAGAAAGAUAUAAAGCCAGGUUAGUGGCAAAGGGGUAUAGUCAGACUUAUGGAGUGGACUAUGAUGAGACCUUCGCACCAGUGGCGAAAAUGAACACCAUUAGGGCUCUCAUAUCUAUAGCUGCAAAUAAUAAGUGGAGGUUAUUUCAAAUGGAUGUUAAAAAUGCUUUUCUUCAUGGAGAUUUGAAAGAAGAGGUUUAUAUGGAGAUUCCCCCUGGGUUUGGUACACAAGAAACAGAGGGUAAAGUGUGUAGGCUGAAAAGGUCUCUAUAUGGUUUGAAACAGUCACCUAGAGCAUGGUUUGGACGACUUAGAAAGGAGAUAUGCUCUAUGGGUUAUCGACAAAGCAAUGCAAAUCACACCCUUUUCUUUAAGUACCAGAGUGGCAAGAUUGUCAUCCUUAUUGUGUAUGUUGAUGAUAUUGUGAUCACAGGCAAUGAUGAUGAUGGGAUAGCAUUCCUAAAGAAGAUGUUGGCCAAGUCAUUUGAAGUUAAGGAUCUGGGUUUUCUUCAUUAUUUCCUGGGAAUUGAGACCAGCGACAACUCCAAUUGAGCAGAACCAUCGUAUUCGAGCAGAUUCUGGUGAUCCUGUGGACAAACAUCAAUAUCAAAGGUUAGUUGGUCGGUUAAUUUAUUUAUCACACACUAGGCCAGACAUUGCCUAUGAUGUUAGCUUGGUGAGCAGAUUUAUGCAUGACCCGAGAUCAAGUCAUUUAGAUGUUGUGCACAGAAUACUAAGAUAUCUUAAAGGUUGUCCGGGAAGAGGGAUUCCAUUUUCUAAUCAUGGACACUUAAAAGUAGAGGGUUUUACUGAUGCUGAUUGGGCUGGGUGCCUAGACGAUAGAAGGUCUACAUCUGGCUACUGUGUUUUCGUUGGUGGUAAUCUUGUUAGUUGGAGGAGCAAAAAACAAAGUGUGGUGGCACGAUCUACUGCUGAAGCAGAGUUUAGAUCCAUGGCUUCAGGAUUAUGUGAAUUGAUGUGGUUGAGGAUACUAUUAUCUGAACUUAGGCUUUUUGAUGGAGGACCACUGCAACUUUUUUGUGAUAACCAGGCUGUAAUCAAGUUAAUACACAAUCCAGUCCAGCAUGAUAGAACUAAACACAUCGAAAUUGAUAGACAUUUCAUAAGAGAAAAGCUAGACGAGGGACUUCUCCAAGUUGACUUUGUUAGAUCUGAAAAUCAACUUGCAGAUGUAUUAACAAAGGGUGUUAGUGUUGUAUCUUUUGAAAAACUAUGUAGCAAGAUGGGGCUCGUAAAUAUAUUUGCCCCAUCUUGAGGGGGAGUGUUGGUAGUACCUGUAACCAAAGAUAGAAGUUUGGCAAGGACCAAAAUGUAAAAUGUAUUGUGUACUUAUCUCUGACAAGGAAUGGAGUGUGUGUGUUCGACAGUCUUCCAGAAAAUCGCCAGCCCACUUCUCUUGCGAGUUUACGGAGGCGCAAGUGAUAAUCCGGCGAAUCCCAACAGACUACUACUGCAAUUUUUUAAAAUCUAGAUAGACUGAUGGCAAGCAUCUCAGUUAAUGAUCGAAAUUCCCAGCUACAGACUAGUUUAUAUGAUUUUUAGUUCUUAUAUGUUCCUUCUAAAAAAAUGUGUGUACAAAUUUUGUCAGGAAUGUAAAUUAUCAUGUCAAGCUUUUAAGCCCAUGAUUUUAGAGAUUUCUGUUUACUUCUUGUAUACGAAGAGGAAAGCAGGAGUUUAAUGUUUCCUUUGUUCUUGUAUAAUCUGUUCAUCCUGAUUAUUUACAUACUUCUAUUAGUUUUUGCCCUAUUUAAUUUUCUUCAUUCAGUUCAGGAAGCACAAUGCUGAUUCCGCAGUUCAGACUGUUGUAUAACUCUAUUC
RNAcentral lists this ribosomal RNA (5226 nucleotides) under Triticum aestivum (bread wheat). RNAcentral describes it as "partial small subunit ribosomal RNA". The record is from RNAcentral. Lineage: Eukaryota; Viridiplantae; Streptophyta; Magnoliopsida; Poales; Poaceae.